This 800-nucleotide ribosomal RNA is filed under the name uncultured bacterium. Its description in RNAcentral is "bacterial SSU rRNA". It matches the Rfam family "Bacterial small subunit ribosomal RNA", at positions 8 to 820 of the family's 1533-position model. The record is from RNAcentral.
AGAGUUUGAUCCUGGCUCAGGAUGAACGCUGGCGGCGUGCUUAACACAUGCAAGUCGAACGAUGAUCCCAGCUUGCUGGGGGAUUAGUGGCGAACGGGUGAGUAACACGUGAGUAACCUGCCCUUAACUCUGGGAUAAGCCUGGGAAACUGGGUCUAAUACCGGAUAUGACUCCUCAUCGCAUGGUGGGGGGUGGAAAGCUUUAUUGUGGUUUUGGAUGGACUCGCGGCCUAUCAGCUUGUUGGUGAGGUAAUGGCUCACCAAGGCGACGACGGGUAGCCGGCCUGAGAGGGUGACCGGCCACACUGGGACUGAGACACGGCCCAGACUCCUACGGGAGGCAGCAGUGGGGAAUAUUGCACAAUGGGCGAAAGCCUGAUGCAGCGACGCCGCGUGAGGGAUGACGGCCUUCGGGUUGUAAACCUCUUUCAGUAGGGAAGAAGCGAAAGUGACGGUACCUGCAGAAGAAGCGCCGGCUAACUACGUGCCAGCAGCCGCGGUAAUACGUAGGGCGCAAGCGUUAUCCGGAAUUAUUGGGCGUAAAGAGCUCGUAGGCGGUUUGUCGCGUCUGCCGUGAAAGUCCGGGGCUCAACUCCGGAUCUGCGGUGGGGUACGGGCAGACUAGAGUGAUGUAGGGGAGACUGGAAUUCCUGGUGUAGCGGUGAAAUGCGCAGAUAUCAGGAGGAACACCGAUGGCGAAGGCAGGUCUCUGGGCAUUAACUGACGCUGAGGAGCGAAAGCAUGGGGAGCGAACAGGAUUAGAUACCCUGGUAGUCCAUGCCGUAAACGUUGGGCACUAGG